RNAcentral lists this ribosomal RNA (450 nucleotides) under Triticum aestivum (bread wheat). RNAcentral describes it as "partial small subunit ribosomal RNA". Lineage: Eukaryota; Viridiplantae; Streptophyta; Magnoliopsida; Poales; Poaceae. The record is from RNAcentral.
AUGUUAAGAAAAAAACUGGGAGAUCAGAGAAACACUAGAUUUUGGGAAGACUGGUGGGUGGGAGACAAACCACUCAAGGAUGCUUACCCUUCUCUGUUCUUUAUCAGUUAUGAACAUGGGAUUUCUGUCAGGGGGGGCAUUGAUAAAGGAUGGGAUGGUUUUACAUUCAGGAGAUCUUUGUUUGGAGAAACUGAACAACUUUGGGCUAGCUUGAAAGUGAGAUGUAAAGAAGUUUUGAUGUAUGGAGGUGAUGAUAAACCCAUGUGGAUGCUGACUGCUGACAGAAAAUUCUCUGUCAAAUCACUAUAUAGAUUCUUGAUCAAGACUGAUGUUGGUUUUCCCAGGAAAUUUUUGUGGAAAACUAAAGUCCCUGCCAAGAUCAAGUUCUUUUUGUGGCUACUUGCUAGAAAAAGUAUCCUUACUACAGAUAAUCUGUUGGGGAGAGGAUGA